RNAcentral lists this microRNA precursor (176 nucleotides) under Oryza sativa (Asian cultivated rice). RNAcentral's name for it is "miR5827 stem-loop (osa-MIR5827)". Lineage: Eukaryota; Viridiplantae; Streptophyta; Magnoliopsida; Poales; Poaceae. The record is from miRBase by way of RNAcentral.
UAUUUUCACCUUUGUUGCAAUUUGGACUACCCUAAACCACUUCUUCAGCACAUCAAUUCCAGCCCACCGGUGAACUCCUCCACCUCUUUGCAGAUUCAUAUCUUUGCUGGAGGAGAGGCCAGACAUGGCUAGGGAAGAGAGUUGAGGUGGUCCAAAGUGCAACAAAGUAAAAAAUA